Molecule: ribosomal RNA, 514 nt
Filed under: uncultured bacterium
Lineage: Bacteria
Description: bacterial SSU rRNA
Rfam family: Bacterial small subunit ribosomal RNA
Source: RNAcentral
UAGUCCUAGCUGUAAACGUUGGGUACUUGGUGUGCCGUUCCAUGAGGACGGUGUGCCGGAGCUAACGCAUUAAGUACCCCGCCUGGGGAGUACGGCCGCAAGGCUGAAACUCAAAGGAAUUGACGGGGGCCCGCACAAGCGGUGGAGCAUGUGGUUUAAUUCGAUGCAACGCGAAGAACCUUACCUGGGUUUGAACUGCUUGGGACACCUCCCAGAAACGGGAGUUUCCUUUCGGGGACCCUUGCAGAGGUGCUGCAUGGCUGUCGUCAGCUCGUGUCGUGAGAUGUUGGGUUAAGUCCCGCAACGAGCGCAACCCUUGUCUUUAGUUGCCAUCAUUAAGUUGGGCACUCUAAAGAGACUGCCGGUGACAAACCGGAGGAAGGUAAGGAUGACGUCAAGUCAGCAUGCCCCUUAUGCUCUGGGCUACACACGUGCUACAAUGGCCGUGACAAAGAGUUGCUACUUUGUGAAAACAAGCUAAUCUCAUAAACGCGGCCUCAGUUCGGAUUGCAGG